RNAcentral lists this ribosomal RNA (465 nucleotides) under uncultured bacterium. Its description in RNAcentral is "partial 16S ribosomal RNA". It matches the Rfam family "Bacterial small subunit ribosomal RNA", at positions 28 to 507 of the family's 1533-position model. The record is from RNAcentral.
GACGAACGCUGGCGGCGUGCUUAACACAUGCAAGUCGAACGGAAAGGCCCUGCUUGCAGGGUACUCGAGUGGCGAACGGGUGAGUAACACGUGGGUGAUCUGCCCUGCACUUCGGGAUAAGCCUGGGAAACGGGGACUAAUACCGGAUAGGAGCCAUUAUUAGUGUGAUGGUUGGAAAGUUUUUUCGGUGUAGGAUGAGCUCGCGGCCUAUCAGCUUGUUGGUGGGGUAAUGGCCUACCAAGGCGGCGACGGGUAGCCGGCCUGAGAGGGUGGACGGCCACAUUGGGACUGAGGUGCGGCCCAGACUCCUACGGGAGGCAGCAGGGGGGAAUAUUGCACAAGGGGCGCAAGCCUGAUGCAGCGACGCCGCGUGGUGGAUGACGGCCUUCGGGUUGUAAACUCGUUUCGCUAGGGACGAAGCUUUUUGUGACGGUACCUAGAGAAGAAGCACCGGCUAACUACGUG